RNAcentral lists this ribosomal RNA (600 nucleotides) under uncultured bacterium. Its description in RNAcentral is "bacterial SSU rRNA". It matches the Rfam family "Bacterial small subunit ribosomal RNA", at positions 878 to 1482 of the family's 1533-position model. The record is from RNAcentral.
GAGUACGAUCGCAAGAUUAAACUCAAAGGAAUUGACGGGGCCCCGCACAAGCAGCGGAGCAUGCGGCUUAAUUCGACGCAACGCGAAGAACCUUACCAAGGCUUGACAUAUACAGGAAUAUGGCAGAGAUGUCAUAGCCGCAAGGUCUGUAUACAGGUGGUGCAUGGUUGUCGUCAGCUCGUGUCGUGAGAUGUUGGGUUAAGUCCCGCAACGAGCGCAACCCUCGUUCUGUGUUGCCAGCAUUUAGUUGGGGACUCACAGGAGACUGCCGGGGUUAACUCGGAGAAGGUGGGGAUGACGUCAAAUCAUCAUGCCCCUUAUGUCUUGGGCUGCACGCAUGCUACAAUGGUUGGUACAAACGGGCUGCGAUACCGCAAGGUGGAGCGAAUCCGAGAAAGCCAGUCUCAGUUCGGAUUGGGGUCUGCAACUCGACCCCAUGAAGUCGGAGUUGCUAGUAAUCGUAGAUCAGCAACGCUACGGUGAAUACGUUCCCGGGGCUUGUACACACCGCCCGUCACAUCACGAAAGUCGGUAACACCCAAAGUCAGUGGCCCAACCGCAAGGAGGGAGCUGCCAAAGGUGGGAUCGGUGAUUGGGAUG